AUUGAACGCUGGCGGCAUGCCUUACACAUGCAAGUCGAACGGUAACGGGCCUUCGGGUGCCGACGAGUGGCGCACGGGUGAGUAAUACAUCGGAACGUGCCCGAUCGUGGGGGAUAACGAGGCGAAAGCUUUGCUAAUACCGCAUACGAUCUACGGAUGAAAGCAGGGGACCGCAAGGCCUUGCGCGGACGGAGCGGCCGAUGGCAGAUUAGGUAGUUGGUGGGAUAAAAGCUUACCAAGCCGACGAUCUGUAGCUGGUCUGAGAGGAUGAUCAGCCACACUGGGACUGAGACACGGCCCAGACUCCUAAGGGAGGCAGCAGUGGGGAAUUUUGGACAAUGGGCGCAAGCCUGAUCCAGCCAUGCCGCGUGCAGGAUGAAGGCCUUCGGGUUGUAAACUGCUUUUGUACGGAACGAAAAGCCUUCUUUUAAUACAGGAGGGUCAUGACGGUACCGUAAGAAUAAGCACCGGCUAACUACGUG
Molecule: ribosomal RNA, 482 nt
Filed under: uncultured bacterium
Lineage: Bacteria
Description: partial 16S ribosomal RNA
Rfam family: Bacterial small subunit ribosomal RNA
Source: RNAcentral